Molecule: ribosomal RNA, 617 nt
Filed under: uncultured bacterium
Lineage: Bacteria
Description: bacterial SSU rRNA
Rfam family: Bacterial small subunit ribosomal RNA (bases 1-541)
Source: RNAcentral
CCUACGGGAGGCAGCAGUAAGGAAUAUUGGUCAAUGGGCGAAAGCCUGAACCAGCCACGCCGCGUGAAGGAAGACGGCCCUACGGGUUGUAAACUUCUUUUCUACGGGAAUAAACCUCAGGACGUGUCCUGAGCUGAAGGUACCGUAGGAAUAAGGAUCGGCUAACUCCGUGCCAGCAGCCGCGGUAAUACGGAGGAUCCAAGCGUUAUCCGGAUUUAUUGGGUUUAAAGGGUGCGUAGGUGGGAGAAUAAGUCAGAGGUGAAAGCUAGCAGCUUAACUGUUAAAUUGCCUUUGAUACUGCUUUCCUUGAGUCUAGUUGGCGUUGGCGGAAUGUGACAUGUAGCGGUGAAAUGCGUAGAUAUGUCACAGAACACCGAUCGCGAAGGCAGCUAGCGAAGCUAGUACUGACACUGAUGCACGAAAGCGUGGGGAGCAAACAGGAUUAGAUACCCUGGUAGUCCACGCCGUAAACGAUGAUAACUCGACGUUGGUCAUAUACUAGUUCUAGCGUCCGACGACGAAGACGUUAAGUUAUACCACCUCGGAGGUACGAUCGCGAGUAGAACGACGAAGAAGUAGACGCGUGAGAGUGCGACGGACGACGACGAGGGAGGAGG